Molecule: ribosomal RNA, 742 nt
Filed under: uncultured bacterium
Lineage: Bacteria
Description: bacterial SSU rRNA
Rfam family: Bacterial small subunit ribosomal RNA
Source: RNAcentral
AGAGUUUGAUCAUGGCUCAGGAUAAACGCUGGCGGCGUGCCUAACACAUGCAAGUCAAACGGCCCUUCGGGGCAGUGGCAAMCGGGUGAGUAACGCGUUGGUAUCUACCCUUAACUCGGGCAUAAUUCACCGAAAGGUGGACUAAUUCCCGAUAGUCUCUUCGGAGUAAAGAUUUUUCGGUUAAGGAGGAACCUGCGUCCUAUCAGCUUGUUGGUAAGGUAAUGGCUUACCAAGGCUAUGACGGGUAGUUGGUCYGAGAGGAUGACCAGCCACAAUGGGACUGAGAUACGGCCCAUACUCCUACGGGAGGCAGCAGUGAGGAAUUUUGCGCAAUGGACGAAAGUCUGACGCAGCAACGCCGCGUGARGGAUGAAAUAUUUAGGUAUGUAAACUUCUUUUAAGAGGGACGAAGUAUGACGGUACCUCUUGAAUAAGCAUCGGCUAACUACGUGCCAGCAGCCGCGGUAAUACGUAGGAUGCAAGCGUUAUCCGGAUUUAUUGGGCGUAAAGCGUCUGUAGGUGGUUUGUUAAGUUGGAGAUGAAAUACACGGGCUCAACUCGUGGAACGUUUCCAAAACUGGCAGACUAGAGGAAGGAAGAGGCAAGCGGAACUUGUGGUGUAGGGGUAAAAUCCGUAGAUAUCACAGGGAACGCCAAAUGCGAAAGCAGCUUGCUGGUCCUUAUCUGACACUGAGAGACGAAAGCGUGGGUAGCGAACGGGAUUAGAUACCCUGGUAGUCCA